Molecule: long non-coding RNA, 817 nt
Filed under: Pongo abelii (Sumatran orangutan)
Lineage: Eukaryota; Metazoa; Chordata; Mammalia; Primates; Hominidae
Description: lincRNA
Source: RNAcentral
AGAUUCACAGUUUCUGAAAGGACCAUGGACUAAUUGGAUCACAAGCAAACUGAAACAUUACAGGAAAUAAUACUGCAAAGCUGGGCAUAGUGACAUGCACCUGGAGUCCCAGCUACUCGGGAGGCUGAGGCAGGAGGAUUGCUUGAGCCCAGGAGUUCAAAGUUGCAGUGCACUAUCAUGACACCUGUGAAGAGCCACUGCACUCGCACUCUAGCCAGGGGAGCAUAGUGACACUUCAUCUAUUACAAAAAAUAUUAUAUAAAAAUUAUGAAAAGAGAGAAUACUGAAUGAAUAUAUAUAUAUAUCCUUUGUAAAUUUUUCUUUAGCAUAUCUAUCUAGGUGCUGCAUUAUUUUACCAAAUAAUAGAAUUCACAUAAAUCUGCAGAGUUUUCAAAGAGACUGUAUUGAAGUUAAUGCAUGUGUACAUUAUUAUUUAGUGAAAAGUUAAAAAUGAUGGCAUAAGUUUUGUUUCACUUUCCCAUGUUAAUAGGAAGGUAUACCCAGAGUACAUUUCUUCUUAAGAAAAAAAAAGAUUGAGGUCACCUUGACCAAAAAUUACCUGUAUACUAGUUCAAAUAUAUUGUAUAUGAACUACAGUUUAAGAAAUAUCAUCAAAUAUUAUUAAUAUAUUCUACUAUCUAAAAAUUCUGCUAUAGCAUUAUAUUUUAUGGCUAAAAAAGCUUGAUACUGGUUGUUACAGUAAAUCUUUACUAACUUAUGAAGCAUCAAAUUCAGAUUUUUAAAAAUUAUGUCAAGCUCAAGCUAUUUAGAAUUCAGUAUAAUUUUAUAUACUACAUAAAAAGAAAAUAGCUUAAAA